UGAGGAAUAUUGGUCAAUGGACGCAAGUCUUAACCAGCCAAGUAGCAUGCAGGACGACGGCCCUAUGGGUUGUAAACUGCUUUUAUGUGGGAAUAAAGUCAGGGACGUGUCCCUGUUUGCAUGUACCACAGGAAAAAGCAUCGGCUAACUCCGUGCCAGCAGCCGCGGUAAUACGGAGGAUGCGAGCGUUAUCCGGAUUUAUUGGGUUUAAAGGGUGCGCAGGCGGCGCGCCAAGUCAGCGGUCAAAGUUCCGGGCUCAACCCGGUGUCGCCGUUGAAACUGGCGUGCUCGAGUGCGUGCGAGGAAGGCGGAAUGCGUUGUGUAGCGGUGAAAUGCAUAGAUAUGACGCAGAACUCCGAUUGCGAAGGCAGCUUUCCAGCGCGCUACUGACGCUGAGGCACGAAAGCGUGGGGAUCGAACAGGAUUAGAUACCCUGGUAGU
RNAcentral lists this ribosomal RNA (441 nucleotides) under uncultured Porphyromonadaceae bacterium. RNAcentral's name for it is "bacterial SSU rRNA". It matches the Rfam family "Bacterial small subunit ribosomal RNA", at positions 355 to 794 of the family's 1533-position model. Lineage: Bacteria; Pseudomonadati; Bacteroidota; Bacteroidia; Bacteroidales; Porphyromonadaceae. The record is from RNAcentral.